Gambusia affinis (western mosquitofish) is the source of this 1034-nucleotide long non-coding RNA. RefSeq lists it as uncharacterized. The transcript has 3 exons. The record is from RefSeq and is a predicted model, not a curated record. Lineage: Eukaryota; Metazoa; Chordata; Actinopteri; Cyprinodontiformes; Poeciliidae.
GACACGUGCAUCCAAAGCUCAACCAGCGAAUGAUAAAAACUUUAUAUUUUUUUUUAGUUCAAGGUUUUAAUUCAUCACUAUGAAUUAAAACCUUCAGACACUGAAACUAAACCGAAAACUGCAGAAAGGAGAAGUUGGAUCAUCUUCAUCAGAAGUCUUCAUCACCUCAGUUCGCUGAUCAGUUUUGAGAAGAAAAGAAAACAAGCAACAGAUAUAAGAUCAGAGGAUCUGCUGAGUUAUCCCAGUUUCUCAACAAAAAGCUUCACACAGAGAAAAACCAGAGGACAAUAAAUAAAUAGAUUAAAUAAGACAUACCCAGAAGCUCUGAGACAUGAACUCCAUCCAUCUGCUGCAGUCCAUGUGUGAGACUGAAACUUUCAAAUCAACCGCCAGAACGAUGACGCGUUUAAGGACGCCUCUGAAACUGAAUCCAUGAGAAACACACAGACUGAACUUCUUACUACAUCCCAGGGUACCUGAACACAUCCUGGGUUCUUCUAAGUGUAAACGUGGCUCUAACGAAUGAGAUUCAAUAUUGGUGAAUUAUUGAUAUCAUCAGUUCCUCCAUCUUCUUCUUCUGAGGAUUUCUCCUCCAGUGGAAGCAGCUUCAGGUUGAACAUCUGGAUCCAGGAUGAGGAACUAAAGAGUUAAUCCAGUGUUGGAUGUCAGCCUGUGAUUAAAUGUGACUGAAUCCUCAGAGACGUUCAGUAAAGAUGUUCAGAAUAAACAACUAAAGAAUCAGAGAAUCUGAAUCCAGAGAAACUCUGACAUUUGCUCCAAACUGAUGGCAUAAAGACAUUUUUCCAUCCAGACUCAUUUCCACUCAAUGAUUUCUGCUCUGAUAUCAGUUUUCCUUGUUUCCAGGCAGAUUGUGUCUCUUCACAUGUUUCAGGUUCAGGUGCAGAGUUUCAGUCACUAAAACUGACUUUGUUCCUUUGAGCAAAUGAAACUUUAGAUCGACUAAACUGAACUGGAAAAGAUCUGAUUCUGUUUAUUGGUUCUGACAUGUUCUACCAUUUAAAUCUGAUUAAACA